CUUGGGUCAUUUCUGGGGAAGAGCUAAAUCUUCUUGACUCUUUUUUUUUUUUUAGUUAAUUCCAAGCCCCAGAUCAAUGGAAUCCUCUUCAGCCCAACUGCUUCCUAUGCUUGGUCCUGCGUUAGGGCUUUUGGUUCAAUGCACACCAAAGAAGCUGUUGGAAGGUUCUCAGAUGUGGGGAGAUGGAGAGCUUUGUUGAGUAUGCGUAGAUAAAAAAAUGUAAACUUGAAAUGCCUGCUAGGAUUCCUUCUCACUGUUAGCUUGAAGCCUGGUGUUAUGCUAAAUAAUUAGAUAGCAAAGGAGUAAGGGCAGUGAGAGUAUUCCCAAGCAGUGCUCUUUGUUGUUUUUUGCCCAAGUCUUUCCUCAGUGCUCAUCAAGCUGACAGCUUCCCAGAUUCUGGGCUGUGCUCUUUAGAGGCUUUUGCUCUUUGCUCUGGGUGAGGCCCAGCCAUCCUCAUGUCCAUCCUUGCUCCAUUCUCAGGGGCAAGCGCUGGCUGUCUGUCUCUGCCCCUCCAGACCCACACUUCGUUUUCUCCUUUCUGUUCUGUGCCUUGGAAGCUGACUCCUGUGCACAGCCUCAACCAAGCACUGUUGCCUUUGGGAUUCCUGGUGAGUUCAACACAUGGAGGACACUGGACAGCAGGACAAGAGACACAGCUGGCAAAUAUUGCGCUGGCUCCUUCUCUCCCAGCUAUGGAAGAUCACAGAUCCCACUGCAGCCAUGGUCAUGAUUACAGCUCUUCUGGGAUCUGGCACCUACCUGUUCCUUCAACCCCUGCUGUUGCCAGCCCUCAGCUCAGCCUGACUGCAUAAAAACCAGACACAGUUCUCUGGUCUCUCAACCUGCUACCUCCCUGAACCAAGAAAGAAUGUUAAUAAGGAAACCUGAAAAUACUUAAUCUGAGUCACAAUAUCAGAGGAACACAUUCAUCUUGGUGUAACUCUCACUAAAAAAAUAAAAAUUCUCA
Molecule: long non-coding RNA, 967 nt
Filed under: Fukomys damarensis (Damara mole-rat)
Lineage: Eukaryota; Metazoa; Chordata; Mammalia; Rodentia; Bathyergidae
Description: lncRNA (ENSFDAG00000023519.1)
Source: RNAcentral